CCUACGGGUGGCAGCAGUGAGGAAUAUUGGUCAAUGGGCGCGAGCCUGAACCAGCCAAGUAGCGUGAAGGAUGACUGCCCUACGGGUUGUAAACUUCUUUUAUAAAGGAAUAAAGUGAGGCACGUGUGCCUUUUUGUAUGUACUUUAUGAAUAAGCAUCGGCUAACUCCGUGCCCGCAGCCGCGGUAAUACGGAGGAUGCGAGCGUUAUCCGGAUUUUUUGGGGUUAAAGGGUGCGUAGGUUGUUUUUUAAGUCAGUGGGGAAAGUUUGUGGCUCAACCAUAAAAUUGCCGUUGAAACUGGAAGACUUGAGUGUGUUUGAGGUAGGCGGAAUGCGUGGUGUAGCGGUGAAAUGCAUAGAUAUCACGCAGAACUCCGAUUGCGAAGGCAGCUUACUAAACUGUGACUGACAUUGAUGCUCGAAAGUGUGGGUAUCGAACAGGAUUAGAUACCCUUGUAGUC
RNAcentral lists this ribosomal RNA (460 nucleotides) under uncultured bacterium. RNAcentral describes it as "partial 16S ribosomal RNA". It matches the Rfam family "Bacterial small subunit ribosomal RNA", at positions 338 to 795 of the family's 1533-position model. The record is from RNAcentral.